RNAcentral lists this ribosomal RNA (478 nucleotides) under Paurocephala sp. 22 LS-2020. RNAcentral describes it as "partial large subunit ribosomal RNA". It matches the Rfam family "Eukaryotic large subunit ribosomal RNA", at positions 701 to 1102 of the family's 3401-position model. Lineage: Eukaryota; Metazoa; Arthropoda; Insecta; Hemiptera; Liviidae. The record is from RNAcentral.
ACGAAACCCGAAGGCGAAAAGAAAUUGAAAACGAGUCCAGCACUCGUCGAGGGAAGAUGGCGACGGAUCCGGCCCGCGUAAGCGGGUUCGCAGAUCGGCCCGCACUCCCGGGGUGCCUCAUCCGCCGGCCGGCAACGGUCGACGAGAGGUGCGCCCAGAGCAUACACGCUGGGACCCGAAAGAUGGUGAACUAUGCCUGGCCAGGACGAAGUCAGGGGAAACCCUGAUGGAGGUCCGAAACGAUUCUGACGUGCAAAUCGAUCGUCUGAGCUGGGUAUAGGGGCGAAAGACUAAUCGAACUAUCUAGUAGCUGGUUCCCUCCGAAGUUUCCCUCAGGAUAGCUGGCGCUCGGAGGUGAGCGAACGAACUCGCUGAGUCUCUUCCGGUAAAGCGAAUGAUUAGAGGCCUUGGGGCCGAAACGACCUCAACCUAUUCUCAAACUUUAAAUGGGUGAGAACCCCGGCUUGCUCGAGAUGUU